RNAcentral lists this small nuclear RNA (65 nucleotides) under Xenopus tropicalis (tropical clawed frog). Its description in RNAcentral is "Xenopus (Silurana) tropicalis (western clawed frog) U4 spliceosomal RNA". It matches the Rfam family "U4 spliceosomal RNA", at positions 1 to 65 of the family's 138-position model. From Rfam's summary of the family: U4 small nuclear RNA (U4 snRNA) is a component of the major U2-dependent spliceosome. The structure of U4 snRNA from yeast and human has been reported. The record is from Rfam by way of RNAcentral. Lineage: Eukaryota; Metazoa; Chordata; Amphibia; Anura; Pipidae.
AGCUUUGUGUAGUGGCAGUAUCAUAGCCAAUGAGGUUUAACUGAGGUGUGGUUAUUGCUAAUUGC